CGACGAAUUACAUCACUCAAUGAAGCUAAAUAAAGAAGCACGAGUUAACCUCGUAUAGAAAAUAUCAAGUGAAUUAGUUAAUUCAAUCCUCACCAUUCUCAUCAUAGUUCCCCAUAUAAAACUAUGACUCCCUAACACGAAGUAUAUCGAUCAAAAUUGAAAAAUAACAUUCCUUUCCCCCAUCAUAUCGGCACGUACCGCUUCAACAUCUGCUUACCCGUCACCGCCACGCCAACCACGACACCGCCAAUAGCACCGGCCACCGCCGCCGAUCUCACCCCUCUUGCUGCACGAUAAAGCGCACCAGUGCCAAGUCCUGCUGCAAUACAGUUCCACACAUCGUCCGUAUCCCUCACAGCCUCAAUCCCGCUCUCCAAACCAGCAUAAAGCAACCCAAUCACGCCGAGCCGAUUCCCCCAAAGACGCCCUGAAUGACCAGACGAGUUCAGGAUCCGAUUGAUCCGGAGUUUCAUAGUAUCACCUGAUUCAAAAGAUUUGACGCCGGAUACGAGUCCUGUAGAUGCUCCGCCGACAGCACCAGCGAGGUAACCGCAACCAGUGUAGAAGGUGAGAUUCUCGCCCCAAGAUCGACGCUGGCGGCGAGCUUCUUCAUCGAAAAGAAACUCUGGGGAGGUUGGAAGCUGGAAGUUCCGAUAAGGAACCUGGAGAUCCUUGUAGGGAUUGUAAAGACGUGGUUGAGGUGAGCCAUGAUCAAACCCUGAAUCAGUAUCGCGAUUGGAAGAAUGGUCAGCCAUAG
RNAcentral lists this unclassified non-coding RNA (757 nucleotides) under Hevea brasiliensis (rubber tree). Lineage: Eukaryota; Viridiplantae; Streptophyta; Magnoliopsida; Malpighiales; Euphorbiaceae. The record is from RNAcentral.